UCACCCCGCGUCCCGGAUCCCCGCCUCGCGCCGUGCUACCCAAUCGCACGCUGCCUUCGUGAUUUGCAUGCUUCCCCAAGUCACUGCAGCCAAUCGCCGACCGCUUGCCUCUUCACUUUGCCCGCCCCGAGAGGUAUUAGCCAAUCAAAAGUCGGUAUCCCGUCUAGAGGCUAAUUGCCGAACGAAGCCGCACACCGCCUUCCGCGCCUUACGGGCCAAUCGCAAAUAGGCUUCGCGUCACACCGCGCAUGCCAAUUGCUGUCGUUCUAACCUCGUUUUCCCGCCCCUAUCAACUCUGGCCUAUGGGUAACCGUCUCCACACCCUUAUUUGCCUGCCCAGUACUGAACUGGCCAAUCGGAGACCCUCGCUGACUAUCGUUAGGCUGGCAAAUCACUGACUGUCGUCCUGCGUCCCGCCUUGAGAUGGCCAAUCUUGAACAACUCUACCGAGUUCUCUCUUGUAGUUGCCCUCCAGAUUUCCAGAUUCUCCCGAAAUUCCUGAAAAGGGGAUCGGACUGUGGCCAUGACUACCGGGGUGGAAGUCCAAUCCCGCAGAGACUCGAGAGAGUGGGGGCGGGGCUACAGUUCUGCGGCGCGCGCAGGCCGCUGGGAUUCUUGUGUAGACGUUGACCUUGGUCCUGACGACUGCUGGGUGUCUGACCUCAGUUCAAGAAUAAUAUAAUUAAAACGUUAGGCACUGUUCUGGGCACAUGACGUGCAUUAAGACAUUUCACAGCAACUUUGUGUUGCUGCAGGGACAGUUUUAUCACCUUGUUAUUUCCUGUGUUCCUGGAGGGGAAAAUGUGAGUUUCAAUGGAAAUCUAUGCGUUACCUACAGGAACAGGGUGUCGCAAACUGUCGCCUGUGGGCCAAAUCCUGUCGGCGCCGGUUUUGGUGAGGCUCGCGAGCUAAGAAUUCUCUUACCUUUUUUAAUUGGUCGGUGAAAAAAUCCAAAUAAUAUUCUGGGACAUGUGAAAAUUAUAUGAAAUUCAAAUUUCCGAAUCCAUAAAUAAAGCUAUGUUGGAACACAGUCAUGCCCAUUUGUUUCUUUAUUGUCUACUCUCAUUACAAUGAGCAGUUGCAACAAAGAUUGUAUGGUCUGCAAAAACUAAACUAUUUACUAUUUGACUCUUUACAAAAAAUUUUUUUUUCCUCUUUGUUAGAGGACACCCUUCAGGGUUUUCUGAUUUUGAUUCUAUGGGAGAUAUUUUAUAAACCCUGUGGUUAUAACUGAUAACAGGGAAAAAUAAUUCUUCCCUAUAGACAUGCAAAUGAAUUCUGAGUGGAGAGAUGCCCACCCCCCAUUUUUUUGCCUUCAUUUGCACAUUCAUUUUACUGUGCUUGUUUUGUCUUGUUGUUUGGUUCUUCUUUGAAAUGGGUUUAACGCCUGACCAGUUAGUUCCCUUUAUUAACAACGAGUUAACAAUUUUUAACACAUGCUCAAUUUUAUUUCUGUAUGAGAGUCGUGAUUUUUACCUUUUUUGGGAAAAUUAUCCUUCAACACUUCCUACUGCUGUCAAGUAACUCAGUCUGGUAUUCCAGGUUCCAGAUUUUACUGCAUUUUUGUGGAAAACCUCCAAAAUGGUUAAAAGAGGGGGGAAAGUCAAAUUAUGAUUCACGAAACAGAGUCAGGUCAACUUUUUCAGCAGAGAAGUGCAUUUCAUGGUGGCUGAAGCCCUGGCAACUCCAAGAGUUUCUAGGGCUUCCCUGGUGGUGCAGUGGAUAAGAACCUGCCUGCCAAUGCAGGGGACAUGGGUUCCAUCCCUGGUCCAGGAAGAUCCCACAUGCCACGGAGCAACUAAGCCCGUGCGCCACAACUACUGAGUCUGUGCUCUAGAGCCCGUGCUCCGCAGCAAGAGAAGCUACCGCAAUGAGAAGCCCGUGCACGGCAGCGAAGAGUAGCCCCUGCUCGCCACAACUAGAGAAAGCCUGCGUGCAGCCACGAAGACCCAACACAGCCAAAAAUAAAUAAAUUAAAAAAAAAAUGUUUCUAGGUCUUCCCUGGUGGCGCAGUGGUUGAGAGUCCGCCUGCCGAUGCAGGGGACACGGGUUCGUGCCCCGGUCUGGGAAGAUCCCACAUGCCGCGGCGCGGCUGGGCCUGUGAGCCAUGGCCGCUGAGCCUGCGCGUCCGGAGCCUGUGCUCCGCAACGGGAGAGGCCACAACAGUGAGACGCCUGUGUACCGCAAAAAAAAAAAAAAAAAAAAAAAAGUUUCCAGAAUCAUUUUGGAAACUUGAAACCUUAUACUAAGUUAAGUGAAAUGGUGGAUAUUCAUUGAAUAUGUAGAUAAUUUUCAAAUAUGAGAAAAUACUGAAAUAUUAAUCACUAAACAUAAGUUUAUCUCGUUGGCUUCUUAAGUUUUACAAAGGAACUAGUGAUGUUUCCGUUAGUAAACACGUCCUUUGCCACAUCAAAAAAUUGUAUUAUAAGGAAGCAUAUGCCUCUAGAAAUUAUGAAAUGAUGUAUUCAUAAAUUUGCUAAUCUACUAUAGAAUGUUGGUAUGGCCACAGGCAGUUUACAAUUGCUUGCUUCCUAGUUUUCCCUGGAACUUAGGGUUAUGAAUUAUAAUCAAUGUAAGUAAAUGAAACUGCUAGGAAUAAUAAAGUUACAGAAAAAAAACUCUGUAUGUGAAGUGUGCACGGAAAAUAAGAUGUGUUUCUGCAGGAAAGAGUAUGAGGUAUGAAGGAUGCGCUCUUUUUUUUUUAAUUAGCAAGUAUUUAAUGUAAUUUAUUUAUGUUUGGCUGCGUUGGGUCUUCGUUGCUGUGCAUGGGCUUUCUCUAGUUGCGGCGAGCGGGGACUACUCUUCGUUGCGGUGCGCGGGCUUCUCAUUGUGGUGGCUUCUCGUUGUGGAGCACAGGCUCUAGGCGCGUGGGCUUCAGUAGUUGUGGCACACAGGCUCAGUAGUUGUGGCAGUCGGGCUUAGUUGCUCCACGGCAUGUGAUAUCUUCCUGGACCAGUGAUUGAACCCUUGUCCCCUGCAUAGGCAGGCAGAUUCUUAACCACUGAGCCACCAGGGAAGUCCAAGGAUGCGUUCUUAGGAAGGAAAGAGAAGAGUAAUUUUGUCCUUGUUUAAGGGUAUUUAGUGAUUGCCUCAAAAUACAAAAGAGGAAAAUAAAGGAGAAAAACCUAAAUGGAUUUAGAAAGUUGGAGAGGGAGAAAGAGGAAAUCUUAUCUUGUGUGGUCAAAUUGGCAAAAAUUAAAUGGAUUAUUAUAAGAAUUUUAAAAAUGAGCUUUAUUUAAAAUUGUUUUUAUUGAAAUAUAGUUGAUUUACAAUGUUGCAUUAGUUGCAGGUGUACAGCAAAGUGAUUCAGUUAUACAUACAUAUAUACCUAUCUAUUCCUUUUUAAAUUCUUUUUCAUUAUAGGUUAUUACAAGAUAUUGAGUAUAGUUCCCUGUGCCGUACAGUAGGUCCUUGUUGGUUAUCAACAAUGAGCUUUAAUAUCAAUAAUGUGACUAUGCAAAACUAGAAUUUGACUUUCUUUCUCUGUUAAAAGAAUAACAUUUUCUUGGAUUAUUGUAAGAGAUUUUUCUUUACCUGUUAAGUAAUUCAUAUAGAAAACAAAGAUUCUGUUUUAUCAAAAUGUUGUCUUUAUCAAGUCUUUAAUUAGGAAAACUGAGUCGUCUCAAAAGAGCUGGAGCUUUUUCUUUUAUUA
This is a long non-coding RNA of Orcinus orca (killer whale), 3652 nucleotides long. RefSeq lists it as uncharacterized. The transcript is spliced from 2 exons. The record is from RefSeq and is a predicted model, not a curated record. Lineage: Eukaryota; Metazoa; Chordata; Mammalia; Artiodactyla; Delphinidae.